GACGAACGCUGGCGGCGUGCUUAACACAUGCAAGUCGAGCGGAAAGGCCCUGCUUUUGUGGGGUGCUCGAGUGGCGAACGGGUGAGUAACACGUGAGUAACCUGCCCUUGACUUUGGGAUAACUUUAGGAAACUGGGGCUAAUACCGGAUAGGAGCUCCUGCUGCAUGGUGGGGGUUGGAAAGUUUCGGCGGUUGGGGAUGGACUCGCGGCUUAUCAGCUUGUUGGUGGGGUAGUGGCUUACCAAGGCUUUGACGGGUAGCCGGCCUGAGAGGGUGACCGGCCACAUUGGGACUGAGAUACGGCCCAGACUCCUACGGGAGGCAGCAGUGGGGAAUAUUGCACAAUGGGCGGAAGCCUGAUGCAGCAACGCCGCGUGCGGGAUGACGGCCUUCGGGUUGUAAACCGCUUUCGCCUGUGACGAAGCGUGAGUGACGGUAAUGGGUAAAGAAGCACCGGCUAACUACGUG
This 468-nucleotide ribosomal RNA is filed under the name uncultured bacterium. RNAcentral describes it as "partial 16S ribosomal RNA". It matches the Rfam family "Bacterial small subunit ribosomal RNA", at positions 28 to 507 of the family's 1533-position model. The record is from RNAcentral.